This 543-nucleotide ribosomal RNA is filed under the name uncultured Curtobacterium sp. RNAcentral's name for it is "bacterial SSU rRNA". It matches the Rfam family "Bacterial small subunit ribosomal RNA", at positions 771 to 1311 of the family's 1533-position model. Lineage: Bacteria; Bacillati; Actinomycetota; Actinomycetes; Micrococcales; Microbacteriaceae. The record is from RNAcentral.
AACCGGAUUAGAUACCCUGGUAGUCCACCCCGUAAAACGUUGGGAACUAGUUGUGGGGUCCAUUCCACGGAUUCCGUGACGCAGCUAACGCAUUAAGUUUCCCCGCCUGGGGAGUACGGCCGCAAGGCUAAAACUCAAAGGAAUUGACGGGGACCCGCACAAGCGGCGGAGCAUGCGGAUUAAUUCGAUGCAACGCGAAGAACCUUACCAAGACUUGACAUAUACGAGAACGGGCCAGAAAUGGUCAACUCUUUGGACACUCGUAAACAGGUGGUGCAUGGUUGUCGUCAGCUCGUGUCGUGAGAUGUUGGGUUAAGUCCCGCAACGAGCGCAACCCUCGUUCUAUGUUGCCAGCACGUAAUGGUGGGAACUCAUGGGAUACUGCCGGGGUCAACUCGGAGGAAGGUGGGGAUGACGUCAAAUCAUCAUGCCCCUUAUGUCUUGGGCUUCACGCAUGCUACAAUGGCCGGUACAAAGGGCUGCAAUACCGCGAGGUGGAGCGAAUCCCAAAAAGCCGGUCCCAGUUCGGAUUGAGGUCUCAAC